RNAcentral lists this ribosomal RNA (466 nucleotides) under uncultured bacterium. RNAcentral's name for it is "partial 16S ribosomal RNA". It matches the Rfam family "Bacterial small subunit ribosomal RNA", at positions 29 to 506 of the family's 1533-position model. The record is from RNAcentral.
ACGCACGCUGGCGGCGUGCUUAACACCUGCCAGUCGAACGGAAAGGCCCUGCUUUUGUGGGGUGCUCGAGUGGCGAACGGGUGAGUAACACGUGAGUAACCUGCCCUUGACUUUGGGAUAACUUCAGGAAACUGGGGCUAAUACCGGAUAGGAGCUCCUGCUGCAUGGUGGGGGUUGGAAAGUUUCGGCGGUUGGGGAUGGACUCGCGGCUUAUCAGCUUGUUGGUGGGGUAGUGGCUUACCAAGGCUUUGACGGGUAGCCGGCCUGAGAGGGUGACCGGCCACAUUGGGACUGAGAUACGGCCCAGACUCCUACGGGAGGCAGCAGUGGGGAAUAUUGCACAAUGGGCGGAAGCCUGAUGCAGCAACGCCGCGUGCGGGAUGACGGCCUUCGGGUUGUAAACCGCUUUCGCCUGUGACGAAGCGUGAGUGACGGUAAUGGGUAAAGAAGCACCGGCUAACUACGU